Molecule: non-coding RNA, 1045 nt
Organism: Micropterus salmoides (largemouth bass)
Lineage: Eukaryota; Metazoa; Chordata; Actinopteri; Centrarchiformes; Centrarchidae
Source: the annotation of a RefSeq genome assembly
GUAAUCAGUAUAACAGUAUAUUCUGUGGUGAAAACAUUGGUUCCAAUGACUAGACUGAACUUAAAUUUUGUCAGAAAACACAACACGAUGAUAAUUUUCUUCUGCAUAACCUUUGAUCUUUUUCUGCUUUCAGGUUCCUCACUCAACGUACACCAGACUCCAGCUGACAUGUACAGCAAACCCGGAGGAACGGCCAAAAUCCACUGUUCACACAGUAUUCGGAGCUAUGAUAGCAUUCUCUGGUACAGGCAAAUAAAUAAUAGGCAACUACAGUUCCUGGGAUACCUCUAUAUAAACAUGAAAAACCCUGAGGAUGGAAUGAACGUGAAGAUAGAUGGGCAAGCAGAAAAAGACCAGAACUGCACAUUAACAAUUGAAAAACUCAACAGCAGUGCAGUUUACUUCUGUGCUGCUAGAUACACAGUGCUACAGAACACUGCUCCUCAGUACAAAAACGUCAUCAGACAUUUUUAUCUCUGUGUUACAGCUCACAGCUCCUUGCACCUGUAGUAACUCAUUCUCGUCAACAUUGCUUUUUCAUCUCAUUAGGGGCAGAGGUUUUAAUGGGAGGUUCCUUAUUUGGAGCAAUGCCGUAUUUAACCUCCCUCAGACAUUCAUUAUGUGGCUUCAUCUCAUGUUAACAGGAUCACGAUGAUGACUCAAGUUCUCGUACCAUUUGUAGUCUCGUAUUUGUGGCUUCAAGUUCACUGCCAGGGAGUGACCCAAGUCCCUAAAAUCAGCUGGAGUUAUGAGUCCAAAUCUGCAGAGAUGAACUGCAGCCACAACAAAGAUAUUUCUCAUAACCAGAUGUACUGGUACAGGCAGCGUCCAGGGGAGACCAUGACCCUCAUUGUUUACACAGUUGCAAGUGGAAAGCCAGACUAUGGGGGGUUCUCUCAAACCAAGUACUCAGCCAUCAAAGAGAACAUUGAGACCGGGAGUCUUACUGUGAAAGACCUGCAGCCUGAGGACAACGGUGUGUAUUUUUGUGCCGUCAGCAAACACAGUGAUGCGAGAAGCUGAGCAGCUGAACAAAAACUGGCUG